RNAcentral lists this unclassified non-coding RNA (253 nucleotides) under uncultured Myxococcales bacterium. RNAcentral describes it as "contains 16S-23S intergenic spacer region". It matches the Rfam family "Bacterial small subunit ribosomal RNA", at positions 524 to 776 of the family's 1533-position model. Lineage: Bacteria; Pseudomonadati; Myxococcota; Myxococcia; Myxococcales. The record is from RNAcentral.
UACGGAGGGUGCAAGCGUUGCUCGGAAUUAUUGGGCGUAAAGCGCACGCAGGCGGCAGGGUGAGUCAGGUGUGAAACUCCUGGGCUUAACUCAGGAACUGCACCUGAUACUGCCUUGCUUGAGUACGGAAGAGGGGAGCAGAAUUCCCAGUGUAGAGGUGAAAUUCGUAGAUAUUGGGAGGAAUACCGGUGGCGAAGGCGGCUCCCUGGUCCGAUACUGACGCUCAUGUGCGAAAGCGUGGGGAGCAAACAGG